Molecule: ribosomal RNA, 467 nt
Filed under: uncultured bacterium
Lineage: Bacteria
Description: bacterial SSU rRNA
Rfam family: Bacterial small subunit ribosomal RNA
Source: RNAcentral
CCUACGGGCGGCUGCAGUCGAGAAUAGUCUACAAUGGUCGGAAGACUGAUAGUGCGACGCCGCGUGAACGAGGAAGCCCUUCGGGGUGUAAAGUUCUUUUAUAUGUGAGCAGUGGGUUCUACGUUAAUAGCGUGGGAUCAGGGAUAUUAGCAUAUGAAUAAGCAACGGCUAACUCCGUGCCAGCAGCCGCGGUAACACGGGGGUUGCGAGCGUUGUCCGGAAUUACUAGGCGUAAAGGGCAGGUAGGCGGAUCUAUAAGUUUUUUGUCAAAUUCAACGGCUCACCCGUUGCGAGGCAGGAGAUACUGUAGAUCUGGAAUGCGGUUGGGGAAGACAGAAUUCCUGGUGUAGCGGUGGAAUGCGCAGAGAUCAGGAGGAAUACCUAAGGCGAAGGCAGUCUUCUAAGCCGUAAUUGACGCUAAACUGCGAAGGUGUGGGUAUCAAACAGGAUUAGAUACCCUGGUAGUC